RNAcentral lists this ribosomal RNA (465 nucleotides) under uncultured bacterium. RNAcentral describes it as "partial 16S ribosomal RNA". It matches the Rfam family "Bacterial small subunit ribosomal RNA", at positions 339 to 795 of the family's 1533-position model. The record is from RNAcentral.
CUACGGGACGCUGCAGUGGGGAAUAUUGGACAAUGGGGGAAACCCUGAUCCAGCAAUGCCGCGUGUGUGAAGAAGGCCUGCGGGUUGUAAAGCACUUUCGGUUGGGAGGACUGCUUCUAGCACUAAUAUUGUUGGAAGUUGACGUUACCUUCAGAAGAAGCACCGGCUAACUCCGUGCCAGCAGCCGGGGGAAUACGGAGGUGGCAGGCGUUAAUCGGAAUUACUGGGCGUAAAGCGCGCGUAGGCGGCUAGAUCAGUCGGGUGUGAAAGCCCCGGGCUUAACCUGGGAACUGCAUCCGAUACUGUCUAGCUUGAGUACAGGAGAGGAGAGUGGAAUUCCACAUGUAGCGGUGAAAUGCGUAGAUAUGUGGAGGAACACCAAUGGCGAAGGCAGCUCUCUGGCCUGAUACUGACGCUGAGGUGCGAAAGCGUGGGGAGCAAACAGGAUUAGAUACCCGUGUAGUC